UACAGAGGUCUCAAGCGUUGUUCGGAUUCAUUGGGCGUAAAGCGCGCGUAGGCGGCUCGGAAAGUCGGUCGUGAAAUGCCGGGGCUCAACCCCGGGACUGCGUCCGAUACUUCCGAGCUGGAGGCAGGUAGGGGAGAUCGGAAUUCCUGGUGUAGCGGUGAAAUGCGCAGAUAUCAGGAGGAACACCGGUGGCGAAGGCGGAUCUCUGGGCCUUGCCUGACGCUGAGGCGCGAAAGCUAGGGGAGCGAACAGG
This 253-nucleotide ribosomal RNA is filed under the name uncultured bacterium. RNAcentral describes it as "partial 16S ribosomal RNA". It matches the Rfam family "Bacterial small subunit ribosomal RNA", at positions 524 to 776 of the family's 1533-position model. The record is from RNAcentral.